UGCCUUGGUGGCGAAAUCGGUAGACGCACAGGACUUAAAAUCCUGUGGUAAUUAUUACCGUGCCGGUUCAAGUCCGGCCCGAGGCACCAC
This 90-nucleotide transfer RNA is filed under the name Pseudoleptotrichia goodfellowii F0264. RNAcentral describes it as "tRNA-Leu". It matches the Rfam family "tRNA". From Rfam's summary of the family: Transfer RNA (tRNA) molecules are approximately 80 nucleotides in length. Their secondary structure includes four short double-helical elements and three loops (D, anti-codon, and T loops). The record is from RNAcentral. Lineage: Bacteria; Fusobacteriati; Fusobacteriota; Fusobacteriia; Fusobacteriales; Leptotrichiaceae.